This 461-nucleotide ribosomal RNA is filed under the name uncultured bacterium. RNAcentral describes it as "bacterial SSU rRNA". It matches the Rfam family "Bacterial small subunit ribosomal RNA", at positions 30 to 507 of the family's 1533-position model. The record is from RNAcentral.
UGAACGCUGGCGGCGUGCCUAACACAUGCAAGUCGAACGGGACUCAGCCCUUCGGGACUGAGUUUAGUGGCGGACUGGUGAGUAACGCGUGAGGAACCUGCCUUUCAGAGGGGGACAACAGUUGGAAACGACUGCUAAUACCGCAUGACGCAUGACUGGGGCAUCCCGGACAUGCCAAAGAUUUUAUCGCUGAAAGAUGGCCUCGCGUCUGAUUAGAUAGUUGGUGGGGUAACGGCCCACCAAGUCGACGAUGCGUAGCCGACCUGAGAGGGUGAUCGGCCACAUUGGGACUGAGACACGGCCCAGACUCCUACGGGAGGCAGCAGUGGGGAAUAUUGCACAAUGGGGGGAACCCUGAUGCAGCAACGCCGCGUGAGUGAUGACGGUCUUCGGAUUGUAAAACUCUGUCUUUAGGGACGAUAAUGACGGUACCUAAGGAGGAAGCCACGGCUAACUACGUG